AACACUUCAACUGUUCCAGCUUUUCCUACAUUUAUAAUAAUAAUACCGUUCCUAGAACAAGUGGCAAAGAAUUUUAUUGAUAUCUGAGGUCCCAAGUUCGAAUCCUAGUUGAUUCACAUUUCUAUCUAAGUUUAUUUUUAAAUGAAAUAAACGAAGCAGGUAGCGUGCUACCUAUCUCUGAAAAAACAUUAAUAAUGAUAAUAAUAGGAGAAUUGAUAUUCACAUAGCAAAAUCUCAUAUUGUCAUUGUAGAUACAUUGUACAUAUCUUAGUAUAAUUUAGAUUCUUUUAUUUUAAACAAUG
This 302-nucleotide long non-coding RNA is filed under the name Ananas comosus (pineapple). Its description in RNAcentral is "long non-coding RNA (ACOM_LNC030039)". Lineage: Eukaryota; Viridiplantae; Streptophyta; Magnoliopsida; Poales; Bromeliaceae. The record is from RNAcentral.